RNAcentral lists this ribosomal RNA (431 nucleotides) under uncultured rumen bacterium. Its description in RNAcentral is "bacterial SSU rRNA". It matches the Rfam family "Bacterial small subunit ribosomal RNA", at positions 49 to 476 of the family's 1533-position model. The record is from RNAcentral.
UAAUACAUGCAAGUCGUACGGGAGUCCCCCUUCGGGGGGAUGAGAGUGGCGGACGGGUGCGUAACGCGUAUGCAACCCACCCCUGUCAGCCGGAUAGCCUUGGGAAACCGGGGGUAACACGGCAUGUUCCCGCGUGGGGGCAUCCCCAAGCGGGCAAAGCGGCGACGCGGACGGGGACGGGCAUGCGUGCCAUUAGCUUGUUGGCGGGGCGACGGCCCACCAAGGCUACGAUGGCUAGGGGAUCUGAGAGGACGGUCCCCCACACUGGUACUGAGACACGGACCAGACUCCUGCGGGAGGCAGCAGUAAGGGAUAUUGGGCAAUGGGGGGAACCCUGACCCAGCCAUGCCGCGUGAGGGAAUGAGGCCCCAGUGGUCGUGAACCUCUUUUGCGCGGGGACAAGGACGCGGUCGCGAAACGCGUUUGAGGGU